UCCUCCAAGGCUAAAUACUCCUGACUGACCGAUAGUGAACCAGUACCGUGAGGGAAAGGCGAAAAGAACCCCGGCGAGGGGAGUGAAAAAGAACCUGAAACCGUGUACGUACAAGCAGUAGGAGCCCCACCACCAAAGCGUUUCGCUUUGCGUGGUGCGCAAAAUGCGUAACGACAGCAUGAUGGACGGUUAACGGAGCGUAAGCGACGUUCAACAUCCAGAAUCAGGCAGUGGAGCGUUUUGGGGUGGGGUGACUGCGUACCUUUUGUAUAAUGGGUCAGCGACUUAUAUUCUGUAGCAAGGUUAACCGUAUAGGGGAGCCGCAGGGAAACCGAGUCUUAACUGGGCGUUAAGUUGCAGGGUAUAGACCCGAAA
This 375-nucleotide ribosomal RNA is filed under the name Klebsiella michiganensis. RNAcentral's name for it is "bacterial LSU rRNA". It matches the Rfam family "Bacterial large subunit ribosomal RNA", at positions 456 to 720 of the family's 2925-position model. Lineage: Bacteria; Pseudomonadati; Pseudomonadota; Gammaproteobacteria; Enterobacterales; Enterobacteriaceae. The record is from RNAcentral.